GACGAACCGUGCGAACGUUGUUCGGAAUCACUGGGCUUAAAGGGCGCGUAGGCGGUCUGCCAAGUCCGGGGUGAAAGCCCCCAGCUCAACUGGGGAAGUGCCUCGGAUACUGGCGGACUUGAGGGAGGCAGGGGUUGUGGGAACUUCCGGUGGAGCGGUGAAAUGCGUUGAUAUCGGAAGGAACGCCGGUGGCGAAAGCGCACAACUGGUCCUCUUCUGACGCUGAGGCGCGAAAGCGUGGGGAGCAAACGGG
Molecule: ribosomal RNA, 253 nt
Filed under: uncultured bacterium
Lineage: Bacteria
Description: partial 16S ribosomal RNA
Rfam family: Bacterial small subunit ribosomal RNA
Source: RNAcentral